UGCCUCCCCAGUACUGAGAUUAAAGGAGUGUCCGACACACAACCUUGAUGCUGACUUCAUCUACUGAGCCAUUCUGAGACAGCACCAUCUCAAGAACCCAGCUUGUGUGUUUGGCUGGUUUUCCAGUCAUGAAAACAUCUUUAAAAAAAAUGCAGAACACAGUGCCAAAUGCCGGUGAACUUGGGAAACCCUUCUUCCAUCGUGGUGGGAAUGCAAGGCUGUGCAGUCAUGUUGCAAACGCAGCUCUUAUGUACCACCCAACAAAGGAGUUGAUCCUGUCUGUCCACACAAACCCCUGCAGAUGGUGUUUAUACCUGCUUUGUUACUGCCCAAAGACAAGAGGAGCAAGCAGCCUUCAGUAGGCGAAGGACAAUGGAGUAAGUGUGAAAAGAAUGGGCUGUCAAGGCACAGAAAGACGCAGAAGAAUCUUAAAUUCAUGUUACUGAGCGUGUCUGUCUACCCCUUGGUUCCAACGACAUGACCGUCUAGAAAAGGCAGAUUAGGGAGACAGGAGACCAGUGGUUGGUUGAGGGCGGAGGGAGGAUCAGGCUGCAGCACUUGGAGGCUUUUCAGGAGGUGAUGCUGCUCUGUGACACGAUAUAUGCAUGCCAUCAUACGUGUCUGAACCCAUAGAAUGCCCAGCACCAAGUUCAAACCCUAACAGAAGCAAAGACUCUGGGUAAUAGUCAUGGGCCCUGUAGGGAUGUGCAGGGGUGCUGAUGGGGGAAGGUGGGGUGCACUUUUGCUGGGAACCUGAAAGUACUGUGAAAAAAUGUUGAUUUGAAAGGGGUGGGGCAGGUUGGGAGAUGGCCGAGUGGACCAAGUGCUUGCUGCCCAAACAAGAAGCCCUGAGUUCAGAUCCUCACCAGCCAUGUUGGGAACCAGGUAUAGUGGCGAAUGUCUGUAACCCUGGCACUGGGGCAGGGUGGGGUGGUUGGUUGGAGGCAGAGAGAUCCUGCUGUUUGCUGGCCUGUCAGUCUAGCCAAAAUGGCAAGCUCCGGGUUUGUUGAGAGACCCUGUCUCAAAAAAAUAAAUAGAGUAGAGGAAGACACCUGAUGUUGACCACGGUCCUACAUCCGUGCAUGUGGGUAGACCCAUUUGCACAUGUGCACACAAGCACAUACAUAUGCCAAACAGACAAAAACUGGGAUAGGACCAAACGGUUCCUACCAUGGAGGGUGGGGAUGAGUUGGAAACAACCUCUCCCCCACGUCCAAGUUACAAAGCACAGCUAUGCAGUGUUUAUCAUGCUGAGCUCUGGAAUUCCUUUUUUUAUUUUUUUGUCAGCAAUUUCUAUUUUUUUUCUUUUUUUUAAUAUUUUUUAUUUUAUAUGUCUGAGUGUUUAGCCUGAAUGUAUG
Nannospalax galili (Upper Galilee mountains blind mole rat) is the source of this 1358-nucleotide long non-coding RNA. RefSeq lists it as uncharacterized. The record is from RefSeq and is a predicted model, not a curated record. The transcript has 4 exons. NCBI's taxonomy places the organism in Eukaryota, Metazoa, Chordata, Mammalia, Rodentia, Spalacidae.